Molecule: long non-coding RNA, 1286 nt
Organism: Epinephelus moara (kelp grouper)
Lineage: Eukaryota; Metazoa; Chordata; Actinopteri; Perciformes; Serranidae
Exons: 4
Source: RefSeq, a predicted model, not a curated record
AUUAAACCCACUGUAUUUACUUCAUGUUUUGGGCCCACCAGGUCUCAGAGCACCAAUCAGGGUCCUGCUCCAGACCACAUGAUCAACCAGGAUGAAAUGCAAGGCAGAGAGUAUGCUUCUCUUCUCCAUGGUGACGUCUGUCUCUACGAAACAAUCAGAGGCUCUGAAGAACCUGAACACGGGAGGAAUAAUGAGCCAGAGGAGAACGAAUACUCAAAUGUGACGACAGGAUCAGCUGCAGAUCAAUAAAGAGAUCUGCAUCAACAAAACCCACAGAAUGGAUGACAUGAUAAACUAAACCUUUGUUUAAACAGUAUUUGCAGCUUUUAUUUACAUAUAAAUAUAUUCAUAUACAUAUAUAUAUAUAUAUAUAUACAGGGUGUAAAAUUAACACUCGCCAAGCGCCAAUGGCGGGUAAAAAAUGAGUUUGGCGUGUAAAACAAAAACACACACCCGCCAGUGGCCGAUGGAAAAUUUUGAAUUGCAUGUGGGUUUUUUAUGUGCUUCCACCAUUUCUGCCAGCUGUGUCCAGGGACGGUUUUUGCUAUGGGCAAUGUGGGCGACCGCCCAGUGUGCAAUCUAUGUGAGGGCGCAUGAGCGCCCUCGAAAAAAACAACAACAACAACUAAAAAAACUCGCCAGUUUUAUAGACUACCGCUCAUUUCCACGUCAAGUUAGUGGAGUGGGCACUGAGGUGCCCCUAUUAUCACGUUUCAACCAGCAGCAGAAAGGAAAUGCGAAUCCUGGAGGUUGUGGGUUGAACAAGGGUCACAGACAGGAACAUGGCGGAGGUUCAUAGUGCUCUGCGGCGCAAGAUAACGGCUUACCAGCCGUCUCCGACUAAGUCUGACUCCAGGUCCAGUAAUUUCCUCUUUCGUUGGUGUCAUGACUGCCCAGUAGUACCUGGACAACCGAGCCGUGGCGGUACACAGGUAUGUGGCGUGUCAGAGGGGAAACGAACCGUUCACAUUUCCACAAACCUCACCGCACUUUUGUUCUUUACUUAUGGAGGGACUGUCAGGGGAGGAGGGUGGCUGGUUGAUUUUUAUUUUAUUUUGAUCCCCCCUGUGUUAAUCACUUACUGAUGCUGUUUUUGAAGUAUGAAUAAGUCAAUCAGUAAUUUAUUCCAUUGAAAUAUCAUUGAUGUAUUAUAGAAAAGUGAUUUAUCUUUUUUAUAAAUGACAAAAGGCACAUCUGCCUCACUUUUGCAGUGGUAUCGUGAUACUACUUCUGCAGCCUUUGCCGCAAGCACGCCAAAGAAACACAGAGGACAGGGUUGGAUUUUC